GCACUUGUAGCUCAGUUGGAUAGAGCGUUGCCCUCCGGAGGCAAAGGUCGGACGUUCGAAUCGUCUCAAGUGCA
Molecule: transfer RNA, 74 nt
Filed under: Holosporales bacterium
Lineage: Bacteria; Pseudomonadati; Pseudomonadota; Alphaproteobacteria; Holosporales
Description: tRNA-Arg
Rfam family: tRNA
About the family: Transfer RNA (tRNA) molecules are approximately 80 nucleotides in length. Their secondary structure includes four short double-helical elements and three loops (D, anti-codon, and T loops).
Source: RNAcentral